Molecule: ribosomal RNA, 251 nt
Filed under: uncultured bacterium
Lineage: Bacteria
Description: partial 16S ribosomal RNA
Rfam family: Bacterial small subunit ribosomal RNA
Source: RNAcentral
UACAGGGGGUGCAAACGUUGCUCGGAAUCAUUGGGCGUAAAGCGCACGUAGGCGGUUCGUUAUGUCGGAUGUGAAAGCCCUUGGCUUAACCGAGGAAGUGCAUCCGAAACUGGCGAGCUAGAGUACGAAAGAGGAUCGCGGAAUUCCCGGUGUAGAGGUGAAAUUCGUAGAUAGUCGGGAGGAACACCGGGUGGCGAAGGCGGCGAUCUGGGUCGAUACUGACGCGUGAGGUGGCGAAAGCGUGGGGAGCA